CAGCCGUAAACAAUGUGCGUUAGGUGUGUCGGUAACCACGCGUUACUGAUGCGCCGAAGAGAGAUCGUGAAACGCACCACCUGGGAAGUACGGUCGCAAGGCUGAAACUUAAAGGAAUUGGCGGGGGAGCACCACAACAGGUGGAGCCUGCGGUUUAAUUGGAUUCAACGCCGGGAAGCUCACCGGAUAGGACAGCAGAAUGAUUGCCGGGCUGAAGACCCUGCAUGACUAGCUGAGAGGAGGUGCAUGGCGUCAGUGACU
This 261-nucleotide ribosomal RNA is filed under the name uncultured archaeon. Its description in RNAcentral is "partial 16S ribosomal RNA". It matches the Rfam family "Archaeal small subunit ribosomal RNA", at positions 748 to 1008 of the family's 1478-position model. The record is from RNAcentral.